RNAcentral lists this unclassified non-coding RNA (181 nucleotides) under plant metagenome. RNAcentral describes it as "partial contains small subunit ribosomal RNA and internal transcribed spacer 1". The stretch from base 1 to 46 matches the Rfam family "Eukaryotic small subunit ribosomal RNA", at positions 1786 to 1831 of the family's 1831-position model. The record is from RNAcentral.
AAGUCGUAACAAGGUUUCCGUAGGUGAACCUGCGGAAGGAUCAUUAAAGAAUUCGGCUUCGCGGCCAAGUUCUCACCCUUUGUAUACCGAAACUAUGUUGCUUUGGCAGGCCACCUUGCUUCGCGGCCGCAGUGUUAACCACUAGAAUCUCUGCUGUCUGAGUACUAUACAAUAGUUAAAA